AGAGUUUGAUCCUGGCUCAGAACGAACGCUGGCGGCGUGCUUAAUACAUGCAAGUUUGCGAGAAAGCGGGGGCAACCCCGCAAGUAAAGCGGCGCACGGGUGAGUAACACGUAAGUAACCUGCCUCCAAGAUUGGGAUAACCCUGCCAACGCGGGGCUAAUACCGGAUGUGAUCAUGGAAUCUCAUGUUUCUAUGAUUAAAGUUGACCUCUACUUGUAAGUUUGCGCUUGGAGAUGGACUUGCGUACCAUUAGCUAGUUGGCAGGGUAAUGGCCUACCAAGGCUUUGAUGGUUAGCGACCUGAGAGGGUGAUCGGCCACAUUGGGACUGAGAUACGGCCCAGACUCCUACGGGAGGCAGCAGUAGGGAAUUUUGCGCAAUGGACGAAAGUCUGACGCAGCAACGCCGCGUGAGGGAUGAAGGUCUUCGGAUUGUAAACCUCUGUUGAGUGAGAAGAAAACACCCACGGAUAAUACCUGUGGGCCUUGACGGUAUCGCUCGAGGAAGCCCCGGCUAACUACGUGCCAGCAGCCGCGGUAAUACGUAGGGGGCAAGCGUUGUUCGGAAUUACUGGGCGUAAAGGGAGUGUAGGCGGGAAGAUAAGUUAGGAGUGUAAUCCUCAGGCUUAACCUGGGAACUGCUUUUAAUACUGUCUUUCUUGAGUAUGGGAGAGGGUGAUGGAAUUCCAGGUGUAGCGGUGGAAUGCGUAGAUAUCUGGAAGAACACCAGUUGCGAAGGCGGUCACCUGGCCCAAUACUGACGCUGAGGCUCGAAAGCUAGGGGAGCAAACAGGAUUAGAUACCCUGGUAGUCCUAGCCGUAAACUAUGGAUACUAGAUGCUGGAAAAGUCAAUCUUUUCAGUGUCGUAGCUAACGCGAUAAGUAUCCCGCCUGGGAAGUACGCUCGCAAGGGUGAAACUCAAAGGAAUUGACGGGGGCCCGCACAAGCGGUGGAGCAUGUGCUUCAAUUCGAUGCAACGCGAAGAACCUUACCUGGGUUUGACAUGGGAGUGAAAGUUGCCAGAGAUGGCGGCCCUUCCGCAAGGAACACUCUACACAGGUGCUGCAUGGUUGUCGUCAGCUCGUGUCGUGAGAUGUUGGGUUAAGUCCCGCAACGAGCGCAACCCCCGCUCUUAGUUGCCAUCAGGUAAAGCUGGGAACUCUAAGGGGACCGCCUGUAAUAAACAGGAGGAAGGUGGGGAUGACGUCAAAUCAUCAUGGCCCUUACGUCCAGGGCUAGACACGAGCUACAAUGGCCGGUACAAUGGGCAGCAAACUCGCGAGGGUAAGCUAAUCCCACAAAACCGGUCUCAGUUCAGAUUGAAGUCUGCAACUCGACUUCAUGAAGUUGGAAUCGCUAGUAAUCGCGGAUCAGCAUGCCGCGGUGAAUACGUUCCCGGGCCUUGUACACACCGCCCGUCAAGCCAUGAAAGACGGGAGUACCCGACGUCACCGAUCUAACCCGCAAGGGAUGUAGGUGCCUAAGGUAAGACCGUUGAUUGGG
RNAcentral lists this ribosomal RNA (1502 nucleotides) under metagenome. RNAcentral describes it as "bacterial SSU rRNA". It matches the Rfam family "Bacterial small subunit ribosomal RNA". The record is from RNAcentral.